GGGUUCGUGGCCUAAUGGAAAGGCGUCUGACUCCGGAUCAGAAGACUCGGGGUUCAAGUCCCCGCGGACUCA
Molecule: transfer RNA, 72 nt
Filed under: Acanthamoeba castellanii str. Neff
Lineage: Eukaryota; Discosea; Longamoebia; Acanthamoebidae
Rfam family: tRNA
About the family: Transfer RNA (tRNA) molecules are approximately 80 nucleotides in length. Their secondary structure includes four short double-helical elements and three loops (D, anti-codon, and T loops). Further hydrogen bonds mediate the characteristic L-shaped molecular structure. tRNAs have two regions of fundamental functional importance: the anti-codon, which is responsible for specific mRNA codon recognition, and the 3' end, to which the tRNAs corresponding amino acid is attached (by aminoacyl-tRNA synthetases). tRNAs cope with the degeneracy of the genetic code in two manners: having more than one tRNA (with a specific anti-codon) for a particular amino acid; and 'wobble' base-pairing, i.e. permitting non-standard base-pairing at the 3rd anti-codon position.
Source: Rfam by way of RNAcentral